CCUACGGGGGGCUGCAGUGGGGAAUAUUGGACAAUGGGCGAAAGCCUGAUCCAGCCAUGCCGCGUGUGUGAAGAAGGCCUUCGGGUUGUAAAGCACUUUCAGUGGGGAAGAAAGCCUUGGGGCUAAUACCCUCGAGGAAGGACAUCACCCACAGAAGAAGCACCGGCUAACUCCGUGCCAGCAGCCGCGGUAAUACGGAGGGUGCGAGCGUUAAUCGGAAUUACUGGGCGUAAAGCGCGCGUAGGCGGUCUGAUAAGCCGGUUGGGAAAGCCCCGGGCUCAACCUGGGAACGGCAUCCGGAACUGUCAGGCUAGAGUGCAGGAGAGGAAGGUAGAAUUCCCGGUGUAGCGGUGAAAUGCGUAGAGAUCGGGAGGAAUACCAGUGGCGAAGGCGGCCUUCUGGACUGACACUGACGCUGAGGUGCGAAAGCGUGGGUAGCAAACAGGAUUAGAUACCCCAGUAGUC
This 465-nucleotide ribosomal RNA is filed under the name Vreelandella stevensii. Its description in RNAcentral is "partial 16S ribosomal RNA". It matches the Rfam family "Bacterial small subunit ribosomal RNA", at positions 338 to 795 of the family's 1533-position model. The record is from RNAcentral. Lineage: Bacteria; Pseudomonadati; Pseudomonadota; Gammaproteobacteria; Oceanospirillales; Halomonadaceae.